Molecule: ribosomal RNA, 657 nt
Filed under: Triticum aestivum (bread wheat)
Lineage: Eukaryota; Viridiplantae; Streptophyta; Magnoliopsida; Poales; Poaceae
Description: partial small subunit ribosomal RNA
Source: RNAcentral
AUGGGAUGCUUGGAUCGCUGCUGCACGCUCACCGUUCAAAAUUUUCUUAAGCGGUGGUUUCUCUACUCCAUCAUCAUCUUGUGUGUAGGCAUCACCAUCACAGGUAUUAUCUUGUUCGUCUUACGCUUGGCCUUCAAACCCCAUGUAGAGGCCAGCAUCGAGGACGCUCGCCUUACCAGCUUCGGUACCACGGAGGCGACAACCUCGUCGUCUUUCUUGGAGUACAGCAUCUCCGUCGCCAUCAGCAUUCACAACCCGACUUGGGGGUUUGUCAAGCACACCAAGCCUCUCGUGGCCUCCAUCGCCUUCGACGACAACAGCCUGCUGAACGUCUCGGUUGCCGGCGAGGGCCAUAGGUACCGGCCAAGCAAAAAAGAAGUGCACUUCCUGCAGAAAAGCGGGAAGGUCCUUUGGGAUGUGCUGGGUAGGGCGGCCUUGGAGGACUUCAAGCAGCAGAGCAAGAUGGGCGUGUUCAGCGUGGAGGUGCGCCUCUCCGGGGAGAUCACCAUCGUGGGGCUUGAUAAUGUUGUUACCCGAAACAAGCGGAACCUUGGCUUCAGCUGCCCGCUCAGUCUGCAGCUACCGCCGCCGGGCCAUGGGGUUGUCCUCUUCCACGAAGUCAACUGCAAGCCUGAGCCAGAGAAUAUCUAUUUCUGA